CAUGACCUAUCGCUGAGUUCCGUUUUUGGGAAGCGGAGGACCCAUGGUAAGUGGGGUGAAUCGAGAUUCUUAGAUCUCGUAGGGUAUCCUACACCCGAACCCGUCAGCUAACUCCGUAAGCGUUGUAGGAAGAUCAA
This 137-nucleotide small RNA is filed under the name Alicyclobacillus hesperidum. RNAcentral describes it as "c-di-AMP sequence". It matches the Rfam family "c-di-AMP riboswitch aptamer (ydaO/yuaA leader)". From Rfam's summary of the family: This family represents a conserved RNA structure found upstream of the ydaO and yuaA genes in Bacillus subtilis and related genes in other bacteria. The ydaO/yuaA element is thought to act as a genetic "off" switch for the ydaO and yuaA genes in its native state. The record is from Rfam by way of RNAcentral. Lineage: Bacteria; Bacillati; Bacillota; Bacilli; Caryophanales; Alicyclobacillaceae.